ACUAUCCAUUCAAAUAUUUUAAAUGGAAUAAAUGUACAAAAAAAAAUUUUAAAAAAUUUCGUACAACCCAUAUAUAAUUCUUUAUCUGCAUCUUUCAUUAAAGUGUGAUAACGAGCUGUUUCAUCAUUAGAUGUAUGUAUAGGCUCCUCAACAUGCAUACGUUCCGUAUGCAUACAUCCAUCAAACAUCCAAACUGUUUUUUGUAUACUACUGGAUUCUCCUAAAUUUUGAACAUCAAGUCCAAAAGUAUCUGUAAUCAAACCCCUUAUAUCAUCAUCUCUUGCAGAAUUGCCUUGUAGACUAGUGGAUCCAAAAUGAGUCAGAGGUUGGUUACAUGAUGAUGGCAACAUAGAUUUCUCAUGAAAAAUCCAAUCGGUAUAAUCUCUUAAAAAAUCAUUCCAUACCAAAUAUUUUUCAACAAUUUAUGGAUCUAAAGAAGAACUAUUUAUACAUUUCCGACAUGGACAUAAAAUCUUUCCAUUCAAACUAUUUUUCUCCAUACCAAAUUUAAUGAAGUCAUGAACUCCAUCUAAAUUUUUUUUACUAUUCCUUGAUUUAUUUAUCCAAUUUUUGUCCAUUAUAGAAUAAAAAUGAUCGAACUUACAACUUAUCUAAAAAUAAAAAAAAUUAUACAAUCUAUAUUAAUGCAAUG
This 652-nucleotide long non-coding RNA is filed under the name Elaeis guineensis (African oil palm). RNAcentral's name for it is "long non-coding RNA (EGUI_LNC080484)". Lineage: Eukaryota; Viridiplantae; Streptophyta; Magnoliopsida; Arecales; Arecaceae. The record is from RNAcentral.